This is a long non-coding RNA of Etheostoma spectabile (orangethroat darter), 286 nucleotides long. RefSeq lists it as uncharacterized. The record is from RefSeq and is a predicted model, not a curated record. The transcript is spliced from 2 exons. Lineage: Eukaryota; Metazoa; Chordata; Actinopteri; Perciformes; Percidae.
CAAAGAAUGUGUUUGCAUCUUUGACAAACUGCAAGUCUAUAAUCCCAAGCUCCCUCUGAUGCACUAAACAAAAAGGUCUAGAAGUGCAGAACCUACCUUUUGUGUAGUUUCCAAUUUUACUUCUAUUCUUAUUCUAGGUGUAUACAACUCAUUGUUUUUACUUCUGUAUUUAUGUGUACCUAGUUCUGUCUUUGUGCUGCUGCAACUCCUGAAUUUCCCUUCAGGCUUAUCUUAUCUUUCUUAAUAAGCACGGCCGAGUGGAACUAUGUAGAAACAAGGAACUGAC